AGAGGGUGCAAGCGUUAAUCGGAUUUACUGGGCGUAAAGCGCGCGUAGGCGGCUAAUUAAGUCAAAUGUGAAAUCCCCGAGCUUAACUUGGGAAUUGCAUUCAAUACUGGUUAGCUAGAGUGUGGGAGAGGAUGGUAGAAUUCCAGGUGUAGCGGUGAAAUGCGUAGAGAUCUGGAGGAAUACCGAUGGCGAAGGCAGCCAUCUGGCCUAACACUGACGCUGAGGUGCGAAAGCAUGGGGAGCAAACAGGAUUAGAUACCCUGGUAGUCCAUGCCGUAAACGAUGCCUACUAGCUGUUGGGGCCUUUGAGGCUUUAGUGGCGCAGCUAACGCGAUAAGUAGACCGCCUGGGGAGUACGGUCGCAAGACUA
This 370-nucleotide ribosomal RNA is filed under the name uncultured bacterium. RNAcentral's name for it is "bacterial SSU rRNA". It matches the Rfam family "Bacterial small subunit ribosomal RNA", at positions 527 to 896 of the family's 1533-position model. The record is from RNAcentral.